Molecule: ribosomal RNA, 2098 nt
Filed under: Enterococcus faecium
Lineage: Bacteria; Bacillati; Bacillota; Bacilli; Lactobacillales; Enterococcaceae
Description: bacterial LSU rRNA
Rfam family: Bacterial large subunit ribosomal RNA
Source: RNAcentral
UUAAGUGAAUAAGGGCGCACGGUGGAUGCCUUGGCACUAGGAGCCGAUGAAGGACGGGACUAACACCGAUAUGCUUUGGGGAGCUGUACGUAAGCUAUGAUCCAGAGAUUUCCGAAUGGGGGAACCCAGCAUCUUUAAUAGGAUGUUACGAUUGUGUGAAUACAUAGCACAUUCGAGGUAGACGCAGAGAACUGAAACAUCUAAGUACCUGCAGGAAGAGAAAGAAAAUUCGAUUCCCUGAGUAGCGGCGAGCGAAACGGGAAAAGCCCAAACCAACAAGCUUGCUUGUUGGGGUUGUAGGACUCCAAUAUGGUCGUUCUUUCAGAUAGUCGAAUGACUUGGAAAAGUCAGUCAAAGAGGGUAAAAACCCCGUAGACGAAAUGUGGAAGACACCUAGGAGGAUCCUGAGUACGGCGGAACACGAGAAAUUCCGUCGGAAUCCGGGAGGACCAUCUCCCAAGGCUAAAUACUCCCUAGUGACCGAUAGUGAACCAGUACCGUGAGGGAAAGGUGAAAAGCACCCCGGAAGGGGAGUGAAAUAGAACCUGAAACCGUGUGCCUACAACAAGUCAAAGCCCGUUAAUGGGUGAUGGCGUGCCUUUUGUAGAAUGAACCGGCGAGUUACGAUUGCAUGCGAGGUUAAGUUGAAGAGACGGAGCCGCAGCGAAAGCGAGUCUGAAUAGGGCGUUUGAGUAUGUAGUCGUAGACCCGAAACCAUGUGAUCUACCCAUGUCCAGGUUGAAGGUGCGGUAAAACGCACUGGAGGACCGAACCCACGUACGUUGAAAAGUGCGGGGAUGAGGUGUGGGUAGCGGAGAAAUUCCAAACGAACUUGGAGAUAGCUGGUUCUCUCCGAAAUAGCUUUAGGGCUAGCCUCGGAAUUGAGAAUGAUGGAGGUAGAGCACUGUUUGGACUAGGGGCCCAUCUCGGGUUACCGAAUUCAGAUAAACUCCGAAUGCCAUUCAUUCAUAUCCGGGAGUCAGACUGUGAGUGAUAAGAUCCAUAGUCGAAAGGGAAACAGCCCAGACCACCAGCUAAGGUCCCAAAAUAUAUGUUAAGUGGAAAAGGAUGUGGGGUUGCACAGACAACUAGGAUGUUGGCUUAGAAGCAGCCACCAUUUAAAGAGUGCGUAAUAGCUCACUAGUCGAGUGACCCUGCGCCGAAAAUGUACCGGGGCUAAACAUAUUACCGAAGCUGUGGAGUACACCUUUAGGUGUAUUGGUAGGAGAGCGUUCUAAGGGCGUCGAAGGCAGAUCGUGAGGACUGCUGGAGCGCUUAGAAGUGAGAAUGCCGGUAUGAGUAGCGAAAGACAGGUGAGAAUCCUGUCCACCGAAUGACUAAGGUUUCCUGGGGAAGGCUCGUCCGCCCAGGGUUAGUCGGGACCUAAGCCGAGGCCGAUAGGCGUAGGCGAUGGAUAACAGGUUGAUAUUCCUGUACCCGUUGUUUUUGUUUGAGCAAUGGAGGGACGCAGGAGGCUAAGGAAUGCAGACGAUCGGAAAUGUCUGUCCAAGCAGUAAGUCUGAAGAGGAGUCAAAUGCUUCUUUUCUUAAGGACAAGCUGUGAUGGGGAGGGAAAUAAUAGUACCGAAGUUCCUGAUGUCACACUGCCGAGAAAAGCUUCUAGUGAGAAAACAGCGGCCCGUACCGCAAACCGACACAGGUAGUCGAGGAGAGAAUCCUAAGGUGAGCGAGAGAACUCUCGUUAAGGAACUCGGCAAAAUGACCCCGUAACUUCGGGAGAAGGGGUGCUGAUCAUACGAUCAGCCGCAGUGAAUAGGCCCAAGCGACUGUUUAUCAAAAACACAGGUCUCUGCAAAAUCGUAAGAUGAAGUAUAGGGGCUGACGCCUGCCCGGUGCUGGAAGGUUAAGAGGAGUGCUUAGCGCAAGCGAAGGUACGAAUUGAAGCCCCAGUAAACGGCGGCCGUAACUAUAACGGUCCUAAGGUAGCGAAAUUCCUUGUCGGGUAAGUUCCGACCCGCACGAAAGGCGUAACGAUUUGGGCACUGUCUCAACGAGAGACUCGGUGAAAUUUUAGUACCUGUGAAGAUGCAGGUUACCCGCGACAGGACGGAAAGACCCCAUGGAGCUUUACUGUAGUU